AGGGGGGCUGCUCCUAGUACGAGAGGACCGGAGUGGACGCAUCACUGGUGUUCGGGUUGUCAUGCCAAUGGCACUGCCCGGUAGCUAAAUGCGGAAGAGAUAAGUGCUGAAAGCAUCUAAGCACGAAACUUGCCCCGAGAUGAGUUCUCCCUGACCCUUUAAGGGUCCUGAAGGAACGUUGAAGACGACGACGUUGAUAGGCCGGGUGUGUAAGCGCAGCGAUGCGUUGAGCUAACCGGUACUAAUGAACCGUGAGGCUUAACCUUACAACGCCGAAGCUGUU
Molecule: ribosomal RNA, 283 nt
Filed under: Escherichia coli
Lineage: Bacteria; Pseudomonadati; Pseudomonadota; Gammaproteobacteria; Enterobacterales; Enterobacteriaceae
Description: partial 23S ribosomal RNA
Rfam family: Bacterial large subunit ribosomal RNA
Source: RNAcentral